GUCAGUGUGGCAUAGUGGUUUGAGUGUUGGACUAUGACUGGAGACCAGGAUUCGAUUCCCAGCUCAGACA
RNAcentral lists this transfer RNA (70 nucleotides) under Phrynosoma platyrhinos (Desert horned lizard). RNAcentral's name for it is "tRNA-OTHER". The record is from RNAcentral. Lineage: Eukaryota; Metazoa; Chordata; Lepidosauria; Squamata; Phrynosomatidae.